This 459-nucleotide ribosomal RNA is filed under the name uncultured Anoxybacillus sp. RNAcentral describes it as "bacterial SSU rRNA". It matches the Rfam family "Bacterial small subunit ribosomal RNA", at positions 924 to 1382 of the family's 1533-position model. Lineage: Bacteria; Bacillati; Bacillota; Bacilli; Caryophanales; Anoxybacillaceae. The record is from RNAcentral.
CACAAGCGGUGGAGCAUGUGGUUUAAUUCGAAGCAACGCGAAGAACCUUACCAGGUCUUGACAUCCCCUGACAACCCGAGAGAUCGGGCGUUCCCCUUCGGGGGACAGGGUGACAGGUGGUGCAUGGUUGUCGUCAGCUCGUGUCGUGAGAUGUUGGGUUAAGUCCCGCAACGAGCGCAACCCUCGACCUUAGUUGCCAGCAUUCAGUUGGGCACUCUAAGGUGACUGCCGGCUAAAAGUCGGAGGAAGGUGGGGAUGACGUCAAAUCAUCAUGCCCCUUAUGACCUGGGCUACACACGUGCUACAAUGGGCGGUACAAAGGGUCGCGAACCCGCGAGGGGGAGCCAAUCCCAAAAAGCCGCUCUCAGUUCGGAUUGCAGGCUGCAACUCGCCUGCAUGAAGCCGGAAUCGCUAGUAAUCGCGGAUCAGCACGCCGCGGUGAAUACGUUCCCGGGCCUU